RNAcentral lists this ribosomal RNA (434 nucleotides) under uncultured bacterium. Its description in RNAcentral is "partial 16S ribosomal RNA". It matches the Rfam family "Bacterial small subunit ribosomal RNA", at positions 29 to 507 of the family's 1533-position model. The record is from RNAcentral.
AGCGAACGCUGGCGGCAGGCCUAACACAUGCAAGUCGAACGAACCUUUCGGGGUUAGUGGCGGACGGGUGAGUAACACGUGGGAACGUGCCUUUAGGUUCGGAAUAACUCAGGGAAACUUGUGCUAAUACCGAAUGUGCCCUUCGGGGGAAAGAUUAAUCGCCUUUAGAGCGGCCCGCGUCUGAUUAGCUAGUUGGUUGAGGUAAGGGCUCACCAAGGCGACGAUCAGUAGCUGGUCUGAGAGGAUGAUCAGCCACAUUGGGACUGAGACACGGCCCAAACUCCUACGGGAGGCAGCAGUGGGGAAUCUUGCGCAAUGGGCGAAAGCCUGACGCAGCCAUGCCGCGUGAAUGAUGAAGGUCUUAGGAUUGUAAAAUUCUUUCACCGGGGACGAUAAUGACGGUACCCGGAGAAGAAGCCCCGGCUAACUUCGUG